GGGGACCUGGGCAACGGCGCCAGCGCGGGGCGGAGGGCCCUAAGUCUGCAGUCAGGAAAGUCGAGGCUCGGGACAGUCAUCCUUCAGAACAUAUGACUGCCAUGACUGGUCCGACACAAGCGGGAAGGACAGGCGUCUUUAAAAAAUGUGCAAGCGGGAGAGCCUUCGCUGUGCCAGUUUGUCGCACUGUCUCCGAUGAUUAACAGAAGAUCAGGCUGUCCCAUGACCCUCCUGGCAAGCCUGCGAGCAUUCAGAGGGAACUCACACACAUUCUUGAGCAGGCAGUGUGAGCAGGAACCUGCUGAUGACCCAGCAGUCAUGUCUGAAAAAACUAUGUCUAACAUGAGCUGCUGGAAAAUAUUAUCUGACACCUUCUUGCGAUGGAAUGACUUCAUGUUUUUUUUUAAAAGUUGAAAAGGAAUCAAGUAUGUAAGACCAUUUUUAGCUAGCUGUCCAGCCAGCUUCUUUUCUCCAAUCUUACAUUUUAAAAAAUAACUUUAAAGUAGCGUCGGCAUUAACUUAUAUUUGCUCAUAAUAAAAACCAAUGAAAUUUCU
RNAcentral lists this long non-coding RNA (555 nucleotides) under Mus pahari (shrew mouse). RNAcentral describes it as "lncRNA (MGP_PahariEiJ_G0003186.1)". The record is from RNAcentral. Lineage: Eukaryota; Metazoa; Chordata; Mammalia; Rodentia; Muridae.